AGUAAGGUCAAUGUCCACAGGGCAGAUGGCCAAGAAAAUGGAGCCCAUGGUGCCUAGGGAAAUGAACAUGUGCCCUCAACCUCAUUUACCAAGCUUUCUGCUAUGAAACCCUUACUCCGCUGGAAAAUGUGCAUGGCUAGGAAGAAUAACAGUCACCUCCAGUGUCACCACCCAGGCUGCUGGCCACCUGCUUACUGUUGGGAUUACAGCUGUCACCACCAAAUCUGUUAUCCUUCGCUGGGGAGGGAACCCAGGCACUAUUCACGGUGGCCCCUUUCACAUGAUGCUGUCAGAUACAAUCCCCAGGAUCUACUGGAAGAGAGUCCUGGAGUCACAGGCACUUAUGUUAGGGACAAACGUCUAACCGAGGUGCCUAUUAACAUCUCAAAUCACCUGGCCACCAGGACGGCAGUAAGCACCUGUUACAGAGUCCUGGCUCCUCGGCCCUUCUCCCCCUCGGCCUUACCCUAAACGUCUGCAUCCCGAGCUUUGCUUCCCUUCCCCCAG
Myodes glareolus (Bank vole) is the source of this 507-nucleotide long non-coding RNA. RefSeq lists it as uncharacterized. Lineage: Eukaryota; Metazoa; Chordata; Mammalia; Rodentia; Cricetidae. The record is from RefSeq and is a predicted model, not a curated record.